GAACACAGCAAUUUGAUCUUAUAGAAAUACAAGAAAAGUCCACAUCCUCUGGCCCUGGAAAUUAUUUCAACAUAAUAUAUUCCCCACCAAAUAAUGCACUGUUAUGAGGUCUAGGUUUAAUGUAUUUCUGUGAGAAUCAGGUCAAAAUGUAACAUCAGGAAGUUCCCUUUAACACAAGGCCGGGAAAAACAACAUGUCAUUAACCAUUUAUCAGUGGAAUUUCCCCAGAUCCCCAUGUAGUUUUGUAUAGCUCUUUGUAACUGUGGGAGCUGUAGCUCUGGCCACGGGUUUUUCCUGUGUAAUGUCAUAUCAUUUGUUUGUUUUUGCUAUACAGGAUGUUAUAAGAUCAUGAGCGUUGACUCACUGCUGCAAAUGGAAACAGAUGAUGCAGACAGAGUUAUGCAUACAAGAAUAGUGAGUGUGAACAUUUGUCACUCCGCAGUAGUGAUGGGCAGACUAAUUCUUUUCGCAGUGUAUUUCCUUCGAGUUGAUACAUGAGAAUGUAUUGAACGACACCUGUCACGUCUGCAUUAUAUGCCACAGAACGGCGUCAAGUUGAAAUACUGUCAGUAAUGACAGAAUUUUAAAAGCACUUGGGUGGCUAUAGGGAGGGUGUGAGGGGCAGUGGAUGAGUUUAACAAAUCCCGUACGUAUAUGCAGGACUGUGGAGUUUGCUUCACUUUGGACUUUCAUGUGGAAGUCCGGUUUUGCUUUCCACCUGAAUGAGAUUUUUUUCCCACACCUUACCUCGUGCUUUUGUUGCCUAAACAUAACCACAUGCAGCAUAAUCCCACCAUGUCCUUGUGUUGACAUAAUGGUUGUGGCAUCCUGAAAUGUAAAGACCAGAUGCAAACUGAUACCUAGAGCAUAAUAUGUAGACGCUCAAGUCCAUUACAAAGUGGCAAUAUGUGAUGACUUGGGAUGAGAAUGUGUUGUACCAUCCACUAUGAGUGGCUACAUUUUAGCCUGUUUUGCUGCUGCGAGCUGCAGUGGUCUCUUUCAAGACUGGACUAGUAUCAAAAAUUGUUGUCUCCAUUCGUCACUCAAACACAAAAGCAUGGGAAAACAGGGAGUUCACUUUAAAUAUUUUUUGGGCUGUUUUCUUGGUGUUUAUUUGUAACGGUGAAGCACUUUGUCAUUCUGGAUUCAAAAAUGUCUGUCAUAUAAACAUUACACAUAAAGUUACAUUUAACUUUAGUGUCUUUACAGAUUCUUUGAACAGAGAUUCAGAUGUGCAGUAUUCUGCUAUCCAUAUAUCUGAAGACAGACACAGUCAGGGAGGACAUUUAGUGGAUUCAUCAAGACCUGCUGACGACGCCGAUCUAAAAACAGUCUAUUAUAAACUGGAGGCUCAUCGCAUGGUGCCAGUUUAUGCAAAUGCUGCCGAUAAUGGUUGAGAACAAACGAUGAACUGUCUACAUCAACAUGUUCUCACUCCUCAAGGCUCAGAAAUAGUUUCCACAUUGAACGUCAGCAGAGAGCUGUGGACUUUUAUGUCAUACGGACCAAAGCAGACCCACACAUGGACGCAGAUGCUAUGAACUGACCUUAACCCGUCAAAAAAAGCAGGCCACACUUGCUACUGGGUUUUGUUUUUGUUUUUACUUUUUGUCUGAAAUGGGACACAAACAGCGGUCUCCAGGGUGAAUCUCUGAUGUAUGUUUGACCAAUUCACCCCUCCCGUGCUUUAAGACUUGCUACUGUGUUAUUGCAGUAGUUAGAUGAAAGCCUAUGUGCCUUGUGUGUUGGUAACAGAAGCUGAGGGCCACUGACCGGACUGCCGUAUUUGACGCCCUGGGAAUGAGACCGGAUUUAGUAAUUCUCGAGAAAGGGGGAAAUUAUAAUGGUGUUGAUGCACAUAUCCACACUGUUUACAGGAAAUCCAAAGGACAGUUUAAUUCCAUUCAUUUUUAUUAUUUAUUCGAUUGUUUUUGUUGUUUACAUUUCUAUUUUUUUACUUAUUUUUUGACUCACAUUGUUACUAGCUUGCUGAAAUUUCAAGUGUUGUUGAACUUCCCAGCUGUUAAAGAUGCUGCAUCCGAAA
Plectropomus leopardus (leopard coralgrouper) is the source of this 2044-nucleotide non-coding RNA. The record is from RefSeq and is a predicted model, not a curated record. NCBI's taxonomy places the organism in Eukaryota, Metazoa, Chordata, Actinopteri, Perciformes, Serranidae.